Molecule: long non-coding RNA, 648 nt
Filed under: Homo sapiens (human)
Lineage: Eukaryota; Metazoa; Chordata; Mammalia; Primates; Hominidae
Description: HSALNT0260961
Source: RNAcentral
CCAUUCCAGGCCCCAGCUCCUGGAGGACAUUUCGAACACACCGUGAGGGGGAAGGGAAGCUGCUGUGUUGAAGGUGCUUCUGGAAUAGUAUUUUCAUCUCGUCCACUUUUUUUUUUUUUUUUUUGAGACGGAGUCUCGCUCUGUCGCCCAGGCUAGAGUGCAGUUGCGCGAUCUUGGCUCACUGCGAGUUCCACCUCCUGGGUUCACGCCAUUCUCCUGCCUCAGCCUCCCAAGUAGCUGGAACUACAGGCGCCCACUACCACGCCCAGGUAAUUUUUUGUAUUUUUAGUAGAGACAAGGUUUCACCAUGUUAGCCAGGAUGAUCUCCAUCUCCUAACCUCGUGAUCCGCCUGUCUCGGCCUCCCAAAGUGUUGGGAUUACAGGCGUGAGCCACCGCGCCAGGCUGAAGUGCAGUGGUGUGAACAUAGCUCACUGCAGCCUCGAUCUCCUGGACUCAAGCAAUCCUCCCACCUCAGCCUCCCCAGUAGUUGGUACUACAGGUGUGCACCACCACAUCCAGCUAAUUUUUUGAUUUUUUUAUAGAGAUGGGCUUUCGCUGUGUUGCCCAGGCUAAUUUUGAGCUCCUGGGCUCAAGCGAUCUUCCCGUGUCAGCCUCCUAAAGUGCUGGGAUUACAGGCCUGAACCACC